This 1075-nucleotide long non-coding RNA is filed under the name Physeter macrocephalus (sperm whale). RNAcentral's name for it is "Physeter catodon (sperm whale) lncRNA (ENSPCTG00005002433.1)". Lineage: Eukaryota; Metazoa; Chordata; Mammalia; Artiodactyla; Physeteridae. The record is from RNAcentral.
AAGGUUGCUGGUUACAUAAUUUCCUCCUCCAUAGUUGUCAUAACCACCUCCGUAGCCCCCACCCUGGUUGCCAUAUCCAGGCCCUCCUCCAUACCCGUUAUAGCCACCCCCAAAUCCACGACCACUUCCAUAUCCAUCAGAUCCUCCUCUGAAGUUACUUCCUGGUCCUGGUCCAAAAUUUCCACCACUACCACCACCAGAAUCUCCAAAACCAAAGUGGCCUCCUCUUCCACUUCUAGAACUUUGGACUUCCUGCAUUUCUUUUCUAGACAAAGCCUUUCUUACUUCUGCAUUAUGACCAUUGAUAGUAUGGUAUUUCUGCAACACAGUCUUAUCCACAGGAUCAUGGUCAUCAAAAGUAACAAACCCAAAGCCUCUUUUCUUUCCAGACUAUCUAUCAGUAAUUAUCUCAAUGGUUUCAAUUUUUCCAUAUUCCUUAAAGUAAUCUCUAAGAUGAUGUUCCUCAGUAUCUUCUUUAAUUCCACCUACAGAUAGCUUCUUCACAGUGACAUGAGCCCCUGGCUUUCCAGAGUCCUCUCUUGCAACAGCACGUUUUGGCUCAACUGCUCUCCCAUCAGUUGAAUGAGGUCUUGCAGCCUUGGCGGCAUCAAUCUCAGCCAUGGAUGAAAAAGUUACAAAACCAAAUCCUCUUGAUCUUUUGCUUGCAGGAUCCCUCAUUACCACACAGUCUGUAAGUUUUCCCCAUUGCUCGUAGUAGAUCCUCAAGCUAUCUUCUGUAGUUUCAAAGCUCAAGCCACAAUAAAGAGUACAGAAUUGUUCCUUUUCUCUCUCCAUCGCGGACUCAGUUGCUUCAGCCUGAUUGGCCGCAGCUGAGCGAGAUGAGAGAGAUCUCUGCGGACGAACACGAACCGGCCUCGUCCUGGCGCUGUAGUGAGAACUGCCGCAGCUCGGGAAACAGCACUGCUAGGAGCACCUCCACUCGCGACCCGGCGCUGCUGCCACUGCCGCUUGAGCCGCUGCCACCACUUUUCUAGAACCUUCCCACUGACUAACGCAUCUUCCCUACCUCAGGCUGUUGCGUACCCAUAUAUCUCUUGUCCUUACACAGGCGCAA